UGUCAGAGGUUCGAAGGCGAUCAGAUACCGCCCUAGUUCUAACCAUAAACGAUGCCAACCAGUAAUAAGCUUGAGUUCCUUAAAUGACUCAGCUUGCGACUUCCGGGAAACCAAAGUCUUUCGGUUCCAGGGGAAGUAUGGUUGCAAAGCUGAAACUUAAAGAAAUUGACGGAAGGGCACCACCAGGAGUGGAGCCUGCGGCUUAAUUUGACUCAACACGGGAAAACUCACCCGGCCCGGACACUGGAAGGAUUGACAGAUUGAGAGCUCUUUCUUGAUUCAGUGGGUGGUGGUGCAUGGCCGUUCUUAGUUGGUGGAGCGAUUUGUCUGGUUAAUUCCGAUAACGAACGAGACUCUAUCCUACUAAAUAGAUCGUUGGCUUACAAACGCUAGCGAGACUUCUUAGAGGGACAGGCGGUGAUUCAACCGCACGAAACAGAGCAAUAACAGGUCUGUGAUGCCCUUAGAUGUCCGGGGCCGCACGCGCGCUACACUGAAGUGAUCAGCGUGCAUUUUCAGCCUACUCUGUCAAGAGUGGGAAACCCAAUGAACCUUCUUCGUGAUUGGGAUAGGGGAUUGUAAUUAUUCCCCUUGAACGAGGAAUUCCCAGUAAGCGCGGGUCAUAAGCUCGCGUUGAUUACGUCCCUGCCCUUUGUACACACCGCCCGUCGCUACCACCGAUUGAAUGUUUUA
RNAcentral lists this ribosomal RNA (693 nucleotides) under uncultured eukaryote. RNAcentral's name for it is "SSU rRNA". It matches the Rfam family "Eukaryotic small subunit ribosomal RNA", at positions 985 to 1700 of the family's 1831-position model. The record is from RNAcentral.